This 253-nucleotide ribosomal RNA is filed under the name uncultured bacterium. RNAcentral's name for it is "partial 16S ribosomal RNA". It matches the Rfam family "Bacterial small subunit ribosomal RNA", at positions 524 to 776 of the family's 1533-position model. The record is from RNAcentral.
UACGUAGGUGGCAAGCGUUAUCCGGAUUUACUGGGUGUAAAGGGCGUGUAGGCGGGAAAGCAAGUCAGAUGUGAAAACCACGGGCUCAACCUGUGGCCUGCAUUUGAAACUGUUUUUCUUGAGUACUGGAGAGGCAGACGGAAUUCCUCGUGUAGCGGUGGAAUGCGUAGAUAUGAGGAGGAACACCAGUGGCGAAGGCGGUCUGCUGGACAGCAACUGACGCUGAGGCGCGAAAGCGUGGGGAGCAAACAGG